UGGGCGUAAAGGGCUCGCAGGCGGUUUCUUAAGUCUGAUGUGAAAGCCCCCGGCUCAACCGGGGAGGGUCAUUGGAAACUGGGAAACUUGAGUGCAGAAGAGGAGAGUGGAAUUCCACGUGUAGCGGUGAAAUGCGUAGAGAUGUGGAGGAACACCAGUGGCGAAGGCGACUCUCUGGUCUGUAACUGACGCUGAGGAGCGAAAGCGUGGGGAGCGAACAGGAUUAGAUACCCUGGUAGUCCACGCCGUAAACGAUGAGUGCUAAGUGUUAGGGGGUUUCCGCCCCUUAGUGCUGCAGCUAACGCAUUAAGCACUCCGCCUGGGGAGUACGGUCGCAAGACUGAAACUCAAAGGAAUUGACGGGGGCCCGCACACGCGGUGGAGCAUGUGGU
Molecule: ribosomal RNA, 392 nt
Filed under: Bacillus subtilis
Lineage: Bacteria; Bacillati; Bacillota; Bacilli; Caryophanales; Bacillaceae
Description: bacterial SSU rRNA
Rfam family: Bacterial small subunit ribosomal RNA
Source: RNAcentral